Molecule: ribosomal RNA, 253 nt
Filed under: uncultured bacterium
Lineage: Bacteria
Description: partial 16S ribosomal RNA
Rfam family: Bacterial small subunit ribosomal RNA
Source: RNAcentral
UACGGAGGGUGCAAGCGUUAUCCGGAUUCACUGGGUUUAAAGGGUGCGUAGGUGGGUUGGUAAGUCAGUGGUGAAAUCUCCGAGCUUAACUUGGAAACUGCCAUUGAUACUAUCAGUCUUGAAUAUUGUGGAGGCUAGCGGAAUAUGUCAUGUAGCGGUGAAAUGCUUAGAUAUGACAUAGAACACCAAUUGCGAAGGCAGCUGGCUACGCAUAUAUUGACACUGAGGCACGAAAGCGUGGGGAUCAAACAGG